AACGCACAUUGCGCCCUUUGGUAUUCCGAAGGGCAUGCCUGUUCGAGCGUCAUUAUCACCCCUCAAGCCCCCGGCUUGGUGUUGGAUGGUUUGGUGACAGAGCCCUUGGGCCACGGUCACCCCUCCCAAAGACAAUGACGGCGGCCUCGUUGGACCCCCGGUACACUGAGUUCUUCACCGAACACGUACUGGAUCAAGGGCCCGCGGAGCACGGUCUGGCUCCCCUCAGGGAGAACUUUUUUCUCAAGGUUGACCUCGGAUCAGGUAGGAAUACCCGCUGAACUUAA
Molecule: unclassified non-coding RNA, 287 nt
Filed under: uncultured Minimelanolocus
Lineage: Eukaryota; Fungi; Ascomycota; Eurotiomycetes; Chaetothyriales; Herpotrichiellaceae
Description: sequence contains ITS2
Rfam family: 5.8S ribosomal RNA (bases 1-52)
Source: RNAcentral